RNAcentral lists this transfer RNA (24 nucleotides) under Leptolaena abrahamii. RNAcentral's name for it is "partial tRNA-His". The record is from RNAcentral. Lineage: Eukaryota; Viridiplantae; Streptophyta; Magnoliopsida; Malvales; Sarcolaenaceae.
UGGGGCGGAUGUAGCCAAGUGGAU